Molecule: long non-coding RNA, 346 nt
Filed under: Phoenix dactylifera (date palm)
Lineage: Eukaryota; Viridiplantae; Streptophyta; Magnoliopsida; Arecales; Arecaceae
Description: long non-coding RNA (PDAC_LNC002583)
Source: RNAcentral
GACCACAAGUACUCUUCUCUCCGUCGACAUGUCAUGCUUAUCUAAAGACGAAGGGAACGAGAAGAAGAGGUGAGGUGUAGAUCGAACUGUUACAAGUAAAAGCGGGAUCCGCAUAAGAAAGGACUGGACAAAAGAGGCUUCAAAUAUGGCUGGAAUCUCGCGAAUUUUUCCUUGAGGUCGGUAACCAAACCAAACACACCCACUCUAUUAGUUGGAAACCGGAUAAAUGAAGUCUCUUGAUAAAUUAUCAGAACAAAGUCACUUAUCCUGGCUUAUCUAUUAUAUAUAUUAAUAGUGGAUAUAUCUAAUUAAGAGCACUCUUUAUCCGAUUAUCCGAACUGGUUUU